GCUAGGCCAUUAGAGAUUUGAUUCAUUCGUAAUCUUUGCCGUUGUCACGCUCGUCCAACACGUCCAGGUCGGAAAAGCCAUCUCUCUCUCUCUCUCUCUCUCGAUCGCUCGUUCGCUCACUCGGAAUACAAUUGAAUUCGCUGAGAUGCCUCUCAGGAGGCUCCUAGAGGUAGAACCACCGAGCCCGCUGAGGUACAUCAUCGGAGCCAUAAUCAUGAUGAUCGGAGUGGUUCUGCCCGUCGGAUACAUGAUGUUCCGUAACAAACGUGUCCCAUCGUCUUCUUCCUACUCCAAACAGACGGGUAAAGGCUGGAUGUAGAGAAAUCGGGAUGGAUUAUAACUUCUCAAGUCGUCAGUCGCAUGUAAACCGGGGUUGGUCAGAGAUGAAGGGAAUAAAAAGACAAAGCGCUGAUCACUAAUGCCGUUAUUCUGAAACUGCAAUUUUGAUACGUGUAUUGUUAGGAAUUUUAAUGUGGAAAAGUUUUAGAAUGAAAAAUGUCUCCUGCUGUUUCGUUUGAAUAGUUUCAUUGACAUCUAUCAGUGGAAAAUGUGUCUGCCAUUUUCUUUCUGACACUAGUUUACAUAUCCCCAUCUCUGUUACUUGAUCUUAUUUGUGACAAGGGGGAUUUGAAUAAUACAGGAGGUCACUGGCUUCGACCUCUUUUAGUAUUGACAUUUUCUAACCUUCCAAUUUCUGGUUAGGGUUUGCAUCAAGGUUUCCUUCUCCACUAGGCCUCUUAAUGUGUUAACAGGAACUUGUUUCAAAAGAUGUUAACUAAUAGGUUUGGUGGAGAUGGGUUAUUAAUUUCACAUAGUUGCAUUGUUUCACAGUAGAGUAUUCUAUGUUUGAUCGGAUAGGGCGAAGAAUUCAAAUAUAUUGUCUUGAAAUUUGGUAGGAAGAUGUCUACAGAAGGCGCAAAGGCAACACAGCAACAGUUGAGUAAAAAAUCUUGGUUAUGUUAGGGGUUUUCUUGAGAUAGAUGUAGAAAUUAUUUGUCAAUUGGAGGAGGUCAUCUACUGACCUUUUAUUGCUGAGGGUGGAAUCGUGCUGUAUGACAUGGAGAUCUUUGAGACCCAAAAAGAUUGUUAGCUGAUUCAUCUGGACAUAUAUCCUGACACAACUCUCUCAAUAAAAUUGUUCUUUUUCUUAAGCCUGUAAUGUAACUGUAAGAUCUUGGAUUCUCAGGCCAAGAAUUUAAUAGACUUGUAACAAUUGAUAAACUCAAUAAAUGGAUUUUCAUAGUCA
Non-coding RNA from Nelumbo nucifera (sacred lotus), 1246 nucleotides. Lineage: Eukaryota; Viridiplantae; Streptophyta; Magnoliopsida; Proteales; Nelumbonaceae. The record is from RefSeq and is a predicted model, not a curated record.